GACGAACGCUGGCGGCGUGCCUAAUACAUGCAAGUAGAACGCACAGUUCAUACCGUAGCUUGCUCCACCAUAGACCGUGAGGUGCGAACGGGUGAGUAACGCGUAGGUAACCUGCCUGGUAGCGGGGGACAACUAAUGGAAACGAUAGCUAAUACCGCAUAAUAUUGAUUAUUGCAUGAUAAUUGAAGGAAGGAUGCUAUUGAAUCACUACCAGAUGGACCUGCGUUGUAUUAGCUAGUAGGGGAGGUAACGGCUCACCUAGGCGACGAUACAUAGCCGACCUGCGAGGGUGCUCGGCCUCGCUGGGACUGGGGCACGGCCCACCCCCCUGCGAGAGGCAGCCGGAGCGGAUCUUCGGCGAUGGCAGCAAGUCUGAACGAGCGACGCCGCGUGAGUGCAGGAGGUUUUCGGGUCGUAAAGCUCUGUUGUAAGUGAAGAUCGGGAGGGAGAGUUGAACGUUCACACUGUGACGGUACCUUACCAGAAAGCUACGGCUAACUACGUG
RNAcentral lists this ribosomal RNA (505 nucleotides) under uncultured bacterium. Its description in RNAcentral is "partial 16S ribosomal RNA". It matches the Rfam family "Bacterial small subunit ribosomal RNA", at positions 28 to 507 of the family's 1533-position model. The record is from RNAcentral.